UCCGUCGAGACGGAGUCGAACCAGCGACCUAUGGAUGUCUGUCUCUUUCUAUCUGCAGGCCACCGCUAUGCCAAAUGAGCUAUCGACGA
Araneus ventricosus is the source of this 89-nucleotide non-coding RNA. NCBI's taxonomy places the organism in Eukaryota, Metazoa, Arthropoda, Arachnida, Araneae, Araneidae. The record is from the annotation of a GenBank genome assembly.